This 492-nucleotide ribosomal RNA is filed under the name uncultured bacterium. RNAcentral's name for it is "partial 16S ribosomal RNA". It matches the Rfam family "Bacterial small subunit ribosomal RNA", at positions 29 to 507 of the family's 1533-position model. The record is from RNAcentral.
AGUGAACGCUGGCGGUAGGCCUAACACAUGCAAGUCGAACGGCAGCACAGUAAGAGCUUGCUCUUACGGGUGGCGAGUGGCGGACGGGUGAGGAAUACAUCGGAAUCUACUUUUUCGUGGGGGAUAACGUAGGGAAACUUACGCUAAUACCGCAUACGACCUACGGGUGGAAGCAGGGGAUCUUCGGACCUUGCGCGAUUGAAUGAGCCGAUGUUGGAUUAGCUAGUUGGCGGGGUAAAGGCCCACCAAGGCGACGAUCCGUAGCUGGUCUGAGAGGAUGAUCAGCCACACUGGAACUGAGACACGGUCCAGACUCCUACGGGAGGCAGCAGUGGGGAAUAUUGGACAAUGGGCGCAAGCCUGAUCCAGCCAUACCGCGUGGGUGAAGAAGGCCUUCGGGUUGUAAAGCCCUUUUGUUGGGAAAGAAAAGCAGCAGGUUAAUACCCCGCUGUUCUGACGGUACCCAAAGAAUAAGCACCGGCUAACUUCGUG